This 497-nucleotide ribosomal RNA is filed under the name uncultured bacterium. RNAcentral's name for it is "partial 16S ribosomal RNA". It matches the Rfam family "Bacterial small subunit ribosomal RNA", at positions 28 to 507 of the family's 1533-position model. The record is from RNAcentral.
GAUGAACGCUGGCGGCGUGCCUAAUACAUGCAAGUCGAGCGAACGGACGAGAAGCUUGCUUCUCUGAUGUUAGCGGCGGACGGGUGAGUAACACGUGGAUAACCUACCUAUAAGACUGGGAUAACUUCGGGAAACCGGAGCUAAUACCGGAUGAUAUUUUGAACCGCAUGGUUCAAAAGUGAAAGACGGUCUUGCUGUCACUUAUAGAUGGAUCCGCGCUGCAUUAGCUAGUUGGUAAGGUAACGGCUUACCAAGGCAACGAUGCAUAGCCGACCUGAGAGGGUGAUCGGCCACACUGGAACUGAGACACGGUCCAGACUCCUACGGGAGGGAGCAGUAGGGAAUCUUCCGCAAUGGGCGAAAGCCUGACGGAGCAACGCCGCGUGAGUGAUGAAGGUCUUCGGAUCGUAAAACUCUGUUAUUAGGGAAGAACAUAUGUGUAAGUAACUGUGCACAUCUUGACGGUACCUAAUCAGAAAGCCACGGCUAACUACGUG